AUGCAGAGGGAGGUGGGGCCGCAGGUGGCCUCCCCGCUCUACCUGCACCAGAUCCAGCCGCUGCCUCCCCAUGCGGCGGCGGCGGCCAGGAAGCGCGGGAGCCCGUGGCCCGCCGUGGAGCCGCCGGAGAACGCCGCCAUGGGGGCCGCCGCCGCGGCCGGAGGGAACUGGAACCCCAGCAUGUGGGACUGGGACAGCCGCGCCUUCACCGCCAGGCCGUCCUCCGACGCGCUCCGCCUCGGCGGCGGGCUGAACCACCACCAUCACCAGCAGCAGCAGCAGGCGCCGCCGCCGCCGGCGACGGCUGCCGAGGUGCGGCGGCAGGGGGGCGGAGGUGCCGGUGACCUGAGCCUUCAGCUGACCCUGCGGGAGGAGGCAUCGAUGGCGAUGGAUGUGAGCCCGACGACUACCUUGUCUUCUUCGCCUUCUCCGCCUGCACGGGCGUCACAGGAGCAGGCUGCUAGGCCUAGCAAGAGGGUUCGGUCUGGAUCGCCCGGAACUGCUUCUGGAGGAGGCGGCGGCGGCGGUGGCGGAGGGAGCGCUAGCGGAGGCGGCAGCUAUCCCAUGUGCCAGGUGGAUGAUUGCCGCGCGGAUCUGACCAGCGCCAAGGAUUACCACAGGAGGCACAAGGUGUGUGAGAUCCACAGCAAGACAACCAAGGCGGUAGUUGGCAACCAGAUGCAGCGCUUCUGCCAGCAGUGUAGUAGAUUUCAUCCGCUCUCGGAGUUCGAUGAGGGUAAGAGGAGUUGCAGGCGAAGGCUUGCCGGACACAACCGACGGCGGAGGAAAACCCAGCCAACAGAUGUUGCUUCACAAUUGUUGCUUCCUGAAAACCAAGAAAAUGCAGCAAAUAGGACACAAGAUAUUGUCAAUCUGAUCACUGUUAUUGCACGCUUGCAAGGUGGUAAUGUUGGUAAACUACCCAGCAUCCCUCCGAUACCGGAUAAAGAUAAUCUGGUCCAAAUCAUAAGCAAAAUAAACUCAAUCAAUAAUGCAAACUCCCUGGCAAAGUCUCCUCCAUCAGAAGCCAUUGAUUUGAAUGCCUCGCAGGGGCAACAACAAGAUUCUUCUGUCCAAAAUGCAACAAAGGUGGUCGACAAGCAGACUGUGCCAUCAACCAUGGAUUUGCUAACAGUUCUAUCUGGUGCUCUUGGGACAUCAACCCCCGAGACCAAUACAUCUCAGUCCCAGGGGAGCAGUGAUAGCAGUGGUAAUAACAAGAGCAAGAGUCAUUCAACAGAGCCAGCAUGUGUUGUAAAUUCCCAUGAGAAAUCCAUUCGACCUUUUCCCGCAGCUGGUAUGUUAAGGAGUAGCAGCACCCAUGGAAGCCCACCUGAAGUAUAUAAGCAGCCAGACCGAGAUACCCAUCCGUACUUGUCGCUGCAAUUGUUUGGUAACAAUGAGGACAUUCCUGUGAAAAUGGACACUGCAAAUAAGUACUUGUCUUCCGAGAGCAGUAAUCCUAUGGACGAGAGGUCUCCUUCAUCCUCUCCACCUGUAACACACACAUUUUUCCCCACUCGUUCAGUAAAUGAAGGCAUCAGGCAUCCUCGUAUUGCUGACUAUGGAGAAGAUGGUGCAACAGUUGAGAACAGUACCACUCGGGCAUGGUGCGCGCCACCGCUUGAGCUUUUUAAGGAUUCAGAACGGCCAACGGAAAAUGGUUCACCACCAAACCCCACAUAUCAGUCAUGUUAUGCUUCAACAUCUGGUUCCGACCAUUCUCCAUCAACAUCAAAUUCAGAUGGACAGGAUCGUACUGGAAAGAUUAUAUUCAAGCUCUUUGGCAAGGAACCUGGCUCAAUCCCUGGGAACCUUCGUGACGAGGUUGUAAAUUGGCUGAAACACAGCCCCACUGAAAUGGAGGGUUACAUUCGCCCUGGUUGCCUUGUACUAUCCAUGUAUCUGUCAAUGCCAACUAUUGCAUGGGAUGAACUCCAAGAAAAUUUCCUCCAGCGAGUAAACUCGUUAGUUCAGGCUUCUGAUUUGGAUUUCUGGAGAAAAGGGAGGUUUUUAGUUCGAAGCGACAACCAGUUGGUGUCGUACAAAGAUGGAAUGACCCGCCUCUCAAAAUCAUGGAGAACAUGGAAUACCCCUGAGUUGACCCUUGUGACACCAAUUGCUGUUGUUGGUGGGAGAAAGACCUCCCUCGUUCUUAAGGGCCGUAAUCUAACGAUCCCGGGCACCCAGAUCCACUGCACCAGCGCGGGGAAGUAUAUAUCGAAAGAGGUACUGUGUUCAGCGUAUCCGGGUACUAUAUAUGAUGAUUCAGGAGUUGAGACCUUUGACUUACCGGGAGAACCAAGUCUUACUCUUGGGCGUUGCUUUAUUGAGGUUGAGAACAGGUUCAGAGGAAACAGCUUCCCUGUUAUUUUUGCGAAUAAAAGCAUCUGUCAGGAGUUAAGAAACCUUGAAGAUGAACUUGAAGAUUCGCGGUUUCCUGAUGUCUCUCCAGAUGAUCAGGUCCAUGAUGCUAGGCGGCUAAAGCCAAGGGAUCAAGUUCUGCAUUUUCUUAAUGAACUUGGCUGGCUCUUUCAGAAGGCCGCUGCAUGCACACCUUCCACCAAAUCAGAUGUUUCUCAUUCAGAGUUGAUUCAGUUCUCUACUGCACGGUUCAGACACCUUCUGUUGUUUUCUAAUGAGCGGGACUGGUGCUCCCUCACUAAAACACUACUCGAAAUUCUUACCAAGAGAAGUAUGGUUAGUGACGAGUUAUCACAUGAGACUCUGGAGAUGCUCUCCGAGAUUCAUCUUCUGAACAGGGCAGUGAAAAGGAAGAGUAGCCACAUGGUGCAUUUGCUUGUGCAGUUUGUUGUAAUUUGCCCUGACAAUUCCAAACUGUACCCUUUCCUUCCAAAUUAUCCCGGCCCUGGUGGUUUGACUCCAUUACAUCUAGCUGCAUCCAUUGAUGAUGCAGAGGAUAUAGUUGAUGCGUUGACAGAUGAUCCUCAACAGAUUGGUUUGAGCUGCUGGCACUCCGUGCUAGACGAUGAAGGGCUAUCUCCUGAAGUGUAUGCGACUUUCAGGAACAACGGCUCAUACAAUGAACUUGUCACGCGAAAGCUUAUGGACAGGAAGAAUAGCCAGGUUACCAUUGUGCUCAACAAAGGUGAAAUUCAUAUCGAUCAACCAGGGAAUGUUGGUGCGAAUAAUGCAUCUGGGAUCCAAGCAUUGGAAAUAAGAUCCUGCAACCAGUGCGCCAUUUUGGAGUCUGGCUUGCUAAGACGCCCUAUGCGUUCUCGAGGAUUGCUUGCUCGCCCCUACAUCCAUUCAAUGCUUGCCAUAGCAGCAGUGUGUGUCUGUGUCUGUGUAUUCAUGCGAGCUUUGCUGCGGUUUAAUUCUGGUAGGUCCUUCAAGUGGGAGAGGUUGGAUUUCGGUCCCACAUAG
Molecule: ribosomal RNA, 3387 nt
Filed under: Triticum aestivum (bread wheat)
Lineage: Eukaryota; Viridiplantae; Streptophyta; Magnoliopsida; Poales; Poaceae
Description: partial small subunit ribosomal RNA
Source: RNAcentral